This 3340-nucleotide long non-coding RNA is filed under the name Lytechinus variegatus (green sea urchin). RNAcentral describes it as "uncharacterized LOC121427562". The record is from RNAcentral. Lineage: Eukaryota; Metazoa; Echinodermata; Echinoidea; Temnopleuroida; Toxopneustidae.
GAAGUGUAGCGCCACCCCGCGUCAGCAUCACUGCCAUUGAUGAAGUUGAACACUGAUUGGAGGCAGAUUCUUGCAGAUAAAUAUCACUUUUCGUUCGGAUAUACAGGUCAUUGAUUGAGUUGACAUUCAUAAUUGUAUUGAAGAAUUAGUCUGACAACUGCUGGUCUAGCAGUUUAUAGGAGAUCGUCUCAUUCUAAAGUUUUAUAGAAUAUGAUGUGAUUGCAACCAUUCUCCCUCGUUGUUGUCGUCGUCAACCUCUUCAUUGACCACCAUGCCGUAUGAUAGCCCCCUCUAUGACUUUUUAGAUGACCUGGACCUCCAACACUACCACCAGGAGUUUGUGAACAAGCUUGGAGUGACCGCUCUUGACCAUUUGACGUACGUCCAGCAAGAUGAUGUCAACCAGCUUGGGAUGUCGCAGCCAGAAUGGAGACGACUUCGAGCGUCGAUGAAGAAAGUCAAGAAAGCUAAGAAGGGAGGCAAAAAUGUGACCAAGCCCCCGCCACCCCUAUCCAGGGUGACUGCCCCCGGCCCAGGGGGCCCACCCAGUGGAGGGCACAUCAUCCCUGCCACAGACAUCACCAUCCUGGACAAGGAACUAGGUCAGGGAGAGUUUGGCAAGGUCAUGCAGGGGGUCUGGAGCAACAGAGAAGGCAAUCAGGUAAGGAGGAGUUCAGUGGACAAAUUUCAAAGCAAUUCUUUUUUUUGGGGGGGGGGGGGUGGAGUGAGGGGGAAGUAUUGCUUUUUUCACUGUGAGCUCUGUGUGUGUUUGUUUUUUACCUAUGUUUAGAGCCUGUACGGAAACCAUCUUCAUACAGUGUUCAAAUCUUUGCAAAUUUAUACCGAUAAUAUUCAUUCAUAUACAUCUUUGUUUCUGUAAUAUCACAGAAUUCAAACUUUCAUUGAAUAUUAUAUAUUAGUUUUUCUUCUACAUGUAACCAGAUAUUUUGCGAAUACAUUUUUCUUGAAAAUUAUUAUAGCCCGCUCUAUCCCAGGACUCUGUUUUCUGUUGGUGUUUGCCUGCAUGUAGUUCAUAAAUACUUAAUACAUAAAUCUACAACAUAGUGAUAUCCUAGCUUCCAAAUCUUAUUUGUUGGGAUUUGACAUGAGCAAAACAUGAUUGUCAUCCCUCUUCCCAAAUUCAUAGUCUAACCUUUGUAAAAUUGCAUUUAGUUUAAUAAAAAAGAUUUCGGUGUUACUUCUUCCUUUAUGUAAAAUAUCAAGUUAACAGCUCUGCAGAUAGUACAUGUACCCUAGAUCAUUCUGUGUAGAAAAUACUACACACAAUUAUUCAUUUCUUGAUAGAUCACCCUUUGGGUCCUCUCCUUCAUAUUCAUGACAAUAGAAAAGGAUCUACCUCUUCAUUUUAAAGUCCUAUAAAACCUCUGCUUUCCUUGAAUUUUGAGGUCAGAAGCUUCAUUAAUAAAGUUUGCAAAGUGCAAACUUUACUUUAAUAGCUUUAUCCAUUGUGGAUUAAGAUCCAAGAAAAGGUUGAUGACAUUAUCGAUUGUUCUGGCUCACAUGAAGGCUUCUUCAAAUUGUAUUCUAUGAACAUUCAGUGGUGACGUCUGAACGGUUUGUUUGGUGCAAGACUCUUAUAUGCCAACAUGUGGGUUUUUAGAAGAAAACAGAUGAUACCCUGACAAAUAGUGAGAAACAAGUUUUGUUUGUUUGUAUAAAGCAUGGACCUACUAGUAUAAAGUAAACAACACUGCUGUACUUAGACAAUGCAAUACCUUAUCUUACGAGGUAUUGGUUGAGAAAUUAUGACACCGUUUUCACUACUAGUGUACUGGAAACUAGUUCAACGUGUAGUGAAAACGGUUGAAGCGAUCUUCCGAACCGGUUCAGCAAACCACCUUGCGAUGUAGUUUCCAAGAUCGCUCUGCCUUGUUAAACUGGUUUUAGCGUAAGUGAGGACACAACUGUUCUUUGGGAAGCGAUCUUCGCACAUUUUGACUGCGCUACUCCACACGACAGGUGCAGUAUUCAUCAACAACAAAGAAACUAUUCAAGAUAUCUUUUGAAUGAAAAUUGGGGGCGGGAGUCGGUUGGUACACAAAUAAUAUUUCAGAAAAGAGUAGGCCUAUAUGUAUUAAAAGAAAGUGCAUUGAGGCAUAUUCACCAUACACUCUAGACGGGCCUUUUAAAUGGAUGGAAAUGGGAUAAAUAGAGAAUAAAUAGAAUUUUGGAAUGGGAAAUUGGAUUGAAGGGGGGGGGGGGUUGAUAAUGAAAUAGAAUGGUAAUAAAAAAGCUAAGCUGUUGAUGGGUUAAAAUCUCUAUUGAAAUUGAUAAAUCUCUCAAUGAGCGAAGUGCUGCCAUUCUAUAUUUUCCUUUUAAAUCAUUAUAUUAAGGGGAUGAAUCUCAUUUAGAGACUCUGAAUUGUAGAAAUUUAUUUGGAAAUCUUUGACCGGAAAUUGCUCAAUGCGUCAUCUACGUACUCUAUCUAGUGCCAGUGGCUCCUGAGACAAAGAACUCUGACCAAAUCUGAUUGGAUGGAAAAUACAGUAUUCAUGAUGUGGAACAACAAGUAUUACUCCAAGCAAAUUUAUCAAAGCCAAAGGGUUUUUAAAGAGUUUUUAAAAAUAAUUUUCAUAAAUCACAAAGUACCUGUUUUUUUUUCUGUAGGUCUGUGUAGAGCAAACAAUUGCCUGCAGUAUUCUAAAUACCAUAGUAAUUAUAUGGAGGUAAAGGGAACUCCACGGUAAUUGCAUGCAUUUGAAGGGUUUCGGAAACCUUUCAAGUUCGUUGAAGUUGCAUUCCUUUGGGAAUGUUUUCUUUUAAUGUGGCAAUCGAGCAAGCAAUGCAAGCAAACAAUGGAAAUUUCUAAAAUUUGUAGGAAUAACCCGUGAAGGAAUGUUCACCAUCUUCCCUAAGUGUCUUAUGGGUUUGGAAAAUUCUGUCUCCGAAAAUAGAUGAUAGUACACCGGUGGAUAAAAGAAAUUCUAUAGCAGUUCAUAAGUCAUUCUUUAUCACUCUAUACAGUUGGCACUUUGUGUCAAGAAAGAACCAUUACCGAUGCACAUGUUAUACAGAUCAAGAAAAGCUAAAUUUAUUUCUUUGAUGGACUUUUAAAAUGUCUCAUGUCGCCCUCCAUCUGUUUGUACGUAGGCCAUAUAUUUAAAAUGGUCUGCAAUAUCCAGGGUGCACAUCCAGGGAUCACUCAAAGUCACAUUGAAGGUUGUGAUGUUCUGUGAGAUUUGGGCCCCCGUCUUACAAAAAAUUGCGAUUAAUCCGAUCGAUCACAGCUAUGGAUGGCCAGCAACUUCAACAUCUAUUUUGCAAACUUUGUUCAAAAUAUUUUUAACUAUGAUGUAUAUUCAAGCAUUCAUUGUUUCCU